Long non-coding RNA from Apis laboriosa (Himalayan honeybee), 367 nucleotides. RefSeq lists it as uncharacterized. NCBI's taxonomy places the organism in Eukaryota, Metazoa, Arthropoda, Insecta, Hymenoptera, Apidae. The record is from RefSeq and is a predicted model, not a curated record. The transcript is spliced from 3 exons.
UUAUAGACAAGACAAUACAUAAAUGUUCAAAGAGCUAAAUCCAAUCUCUGAAAUAGCUAUGAUCUCAUGCUCAACAAAUCUAGCAUGUGUCAUAAAUCAUCCCUUAAGCUAUUUACAGUACGUGCAUUUUCUGAAGAUCUGUCAUUCUGGCGACUAUAUGCAAACUGUUCGUGGAACGAAUUUUGUUUAUGGGAUAAUAUUUUUCAAUAAUUGUUUCAAUAAAUUUAAACAUUCACACUAUCAACGAACAUAAUUCAUGAACAUAAACCAAUUCACAGAAACAAACUGUUCUGUUCACGAAUUCAUCAACAUGAACUCACUGUUCACGAGCAAUUGUUCAAAAACUGUUAUAUUGAGAAAAGCAGGA